Molecule: small nuclear RNA, 122 nt
Organism: Callorhinus ursinus (northern fur seal)
Lineage: Eukaryota; Metazoa; Chordata; Mammalia; Carnivora; Otariidae
Source: RefSeq, a predicted model, not a curated record
GUGUUGUAUGAAAGGAGAGAAGGUUAGCAGUCCCCUUGACAAGGAUGGAAGAGUUGUCGGGCCUGACAGCACGCAUACAGUUAAGAGAAAGUUCUACACCAACUGAUGAAAUACAAAUUCCU